This 493-nucleotide ribosomal RNA is filed under the name uncultured bacterium. RNAcentral's name for it is "bacterial SSU rRNA". It matches the Rfam family "Bacterial small subunit ribosomal RNA", at positions 899 to 1397 of the family's 1533-position model. The record is from RNAcentral.
ACUCAAAUGAAUUGACGGGGACCCGCACAAGCGGUGGAUUAUGUGGUUUAAUUCGAAGCAACGCGAAGAACCUUACCAAGUUUUGACAUGGAGACAAAGGCCUUAGAGAUAAGGAGAUAGAUAUGUCUCACACAGGUGGUGCAUGGUUGUCGUCAGCUCGUGUCGUGAGAUGUUGGGUUAAGUCCCGCAACGAGCGCAACCCCUGUUUUUAGUUACCAACAGUAAGAUGGGGACUCUAAAGAGACUGCCGGUGACAAACCGGAGGAAGGUGGGGAUGACGUCAAAUCAGCAUGCCCUUAAUGACUUGGGCUACACACGUAAUACAAUGGCGCAGACAGAGGGAAGCGAAGUAGAGAUAUGGAGCGAAUCUCAGAACAUGCGUCUCAGUUCGGAUUGGAGUCUGCAACUCGACUCCAUGAAGCAGGAAUCGCUAGUAAUCGCGAAUCAGCAUGUCGCGGUGAAUACGUUCUCGGGUCUUGUACACACCGCCCGU